This 668-nucleotide ribosomal RNA is filed under the name uncultured archaeon. RNAcentral's name for it is "bacterial SSU rRNA". It matches the Rfam family "Archaeal small subunit ribosomal RNA", at positions 50 to 724 of the family's 1478-position model. The record is from RNAcentral.
CGUGCGAGUCUUUGCAGUAAUGCAAGGCAUACGGCUCAGUAACACGUAGUCAACCUACCCUAUGGACGAGAAUAAUCCCGGGAAACUGAGCAUAAUUCUUGAUAGAUCAUAAUGCCUGGAAUGGUUUAUGGUUAAAAUGAUUCGUCGCCAUAGGAUGGGACUGCGGCCUAUCAGCUUGUUGGUGAGGUAAUGGCCCACCAAGGCGAUUACAGGUACGGGCUCUGAGAGGAGAAGCCCGGAGAUGGGUACUGAGACACGGACCCAGGCCCUGUGGGGCGCAGCAGGCGAGAAAACUUUGCAAUGUGCGAAAGCACGACAAGGUUAAUCCGAGUGAUUUCUGCUAAAGAAAUCUUUUGCCAGUCGUAAAACCGCUGGUGAAUAAGGGGUGGGCAAGUUCUGGUGUCAGCCGCCGCGGUAAAACCAGCACCUCAAGUGGUCAGGAUGAUUAUUGGGCCUAAAGCAUCCGUAGCCUGCUUUGUAAGUUUUCGGUUAAAUCCAUGUGCUCAACGCAUGGGCUGCCGAAAAUACUGCAUAGCUAGGGAGUGGGAGAGGUAGACGGUACUCAGUAGGUAGGGGUAAAAUCCUUUGAUCUAUUGAUGACCACCUGUGGCGAAGGCGGUCUACCAGAACACGUUCGACGGUGAGGGAUGAAAGCUGGGGGAGCAAAC